Molecule: long non-coding RNA, 230 nt
Filed under: Gossypium raimondii (Peruvian cotton)
Lineage: Eukaryota; Viridiplantae; Streptophyta; Magnoliopsida; Malvales; Malvaceae
Description: long non-coding RNA (GRAI_LNC008229)
Source: RNAcentral
UUUUUUCGGUUUCUUUUUCCUUUUCUUUCUUUUUUCUCUCCCUAUCAUUUUCCCUAAUUUGUUUUUCCUUUUUUUUACUAGUUUCGCACCUUAAAGAAAGCACCAUCUUUUACUCUUUUCUUUUGCCAAUUCAACUUUUAUUGGAGUGUAAAUCGUUUUGUUGUUCCUCAUGUUGUGCUUAUUGGACGGAAUUUAAUAGGUUCAUCUUUUUGUAAGUGUCUUUAGGUUUC